This 721-nucleotide unclassified non-coding RNA is filed under the name Hevea brasiliensis (rubber tree). Lineage: Eukaryota; Viridiplantae; Streptophyta; Magnoliopsida; Malpighiales; Euphorbiaceae. The record is from RNAcentral.
AUUCUUCACUUUACAGUGGCAAGACAAAACCUUUAGCAGAAUCUUCCUACGUGCCCUGCUUCUCCAAUCCCAUUGAUGUUCAAAGAAAUCAACAAGAAUCCAUUGAUAGUUUCAACAACAAUCUUUUUGCAGUUUCUUCCAACCCUGCAGAUGUUUUUCCACGGAUUCCACUUGCAAAUUCAUUCUACUCUACUCAUGCUGUCCCAUUCUCAGCAAAUUUACAGUACCCAGGUUCUGUUUUAAUGCAAGACCAGUCAAUACUCAAUUUUAAGGGCUUUGUUUGAGAACCAAGGAUCAAACUGGAAGCAGAGUUUCAAAACAGAAAGGGAGAUGGUCAGUGCCUCACAAGAAACAGGCCUAACCACGGAUAAGAACACUGAAAUCUCUUCUGUCAUUUCAAAUAUUGAAAUAGGAAGGAGGGCAUUUGAUGAUCAUCAAGAGGCUCCUUCUACAUUAGCUGGGUCAGUAGACCUUGCCUGUCUGUGGAAUUAUUGAAACUGAGUGGGCAGGCAUUAGAAAGCGAUUGUCGAGUGGAAGAAAAAGAAGAAGAAGAGUAGUUGGAAUUACUAGUAUUAUAUUGAAAAGAAGUGGUUGCUCUGUGUAUAGAUUUGUUGAAAGAAAGUGAAGCAAAAUCAUGAUAUUAUAUGUAGUAUUUGUAAGAAAUUACAAUAUGAACUCCUUUUUUUAACUGUUUUAAUUUGAAUCUAAAUUUGUGUUAGGG